This 204-nucleotide unclassified non-coding RNA is filed under the name Basidiomycota sp. RNAcentral describes it as "partial contains small subunit ribosomal RNA, internal transcribed spacer 1, and 5.8S ribosomal RNA". The stretch from base 1 to 47 matches the Rfam family "Eukaryotic small subunit ribosomal RNA", at positions 1785 to 1831 of the family's 1831-position model. Lineage: Eukaryota; Fungi; Basidiomycota. The record is from RNAcentral.
AAAGUCGUAACAAGGUUUCCGUAGGUGAACCUGCGGAAGGAUCAUUACCACAUCCAAAAUCUUAUAAACCCACACAUGUGAAGUUAUGAUGAGGAACUUUUCUUCAUUUUUGAACCCCUUUUGAACUUUUUAAUAAGUAAUAAGCAAGACUAAAAACAAUGAGAAAAGAGAAAACAACUUUUAACGGUGGAUCUCUUGGCUCGU